GGGUGCGACAGGGCUACCUGUCGUAGGUUUCCGGAUGGUCGGGCCGCCAUCC
RNAcentral lists this non-coding RNA (52 nucleotides) under unclassified sequences. Its description in RNAcentral is "Li+-I sequence". It matches the Rfam family "nhaA-I RNA". From Rfam's summary of the family: Acidobacteria, Alphaproteobacteria, Betaproteobacteria and Gammaproteobacteria, Verrucomicrobia, cand. division NC10. Downstream gene The record is from Rfam by way of RNAcentral.